RNAcentral lists this transfer RNA (83 nucleotides) under Mogibacterium sp. Its description in RNAcentral is "tRNA-Leu". It matches the Rfam family "tRNA". From Rfam's summary of the family: Transfer RNA (tRNA) molecules are approximately 80 nucleotides in length. The record is from RNAcentral. Lineage: Bacteria; Bacillati; Bacillota; Clostridia; Peptostreptococcales; Anaerovoracaceae.
GCGGACGUGGUGGAAUUGGCAGACACGCCAGAUUUAGGUUCUGGUGCUAACGCGUGAAGGUUCGAGUCCUUUCGUCCGCACCA